Molecule: non-coding RNA, 393 nt
Organism: Leptolyngbya sp. Heron Island J
Lineage: Bacteria; Bacillati; Cyanobacteriota; Cyanophyceae; Leptolyngbyales; Leptolyngbyaceae
Rfam family: transfer-messenger RNA
About the family: Bacterial tmRNA, also known as 10Sa RNA or SsrA, is named for its dual tRNA and mRNA-like properties. Its role is to liberate the mRNA from a stalled ribosome.
Source: Rfam
GGGGCUGUAACGGUUUCGACGUUUUGACGAAAGUCGCGUUGUGAUGCAGGCCGAGAGCGAGUCCACUCUCGAAAAUCAAGACUCAACUAAAUACAGAUGCAAACAACAUCGUACCUUUUGCUCGUAAGCAAGUAGCUGUAGCUGCCGCUUAAACACCUCUCUUAGGUUCGAGCGCUUAUUGUCUGACUCCGUUAAGGAUGAUAAGCCUAACCCCAACGGAUGCGUCAGGCUAAUUUCUCUGGUGAGCCGCUUGACAAAGACCUUUACCAGAGCAUCCCAUUGCUCGGGAUAAUGAGCGAUUCCCGCCUAGAGGAUUAGAUAGGCUAAGCCUGUGAAUGAGUGGCGUGUUAUUACUUAGGGCGGACACGGGUUCGACUCCCGUCAGCUCCAUUU